This 106-nucleotide small nucleolar RNA is filed under the name Capsicum annuum. RNAcentral describes it as "Plant small nucleolar RNA R71". It matches the Rfam family "Plant small nucleolar RNA R71". Rfam says of the family: R71 is a member of the C/D box family of snoRNAs containing the C (UGAUGA) and D (CUGA) box motifs. Multiple nearly identical copies of this snoRNA have been identified in Arabidopsis, and it is thought to function as a 2'-O-ribose methylation guide for 18S ribosomal RNA. Lineage: Eukaryota; Viridiplantae; Streptophyta; Magnoliopsida; Solanales; Solanaceae. The record is from Rfam by way of RNAcentral.
CGUCAUGAUUUGGGAAUUGCAUUAAUUUAUCAUUGAAUCUUUUCCAAACUUCCUACAAGGAUUCACCACUAAGUUGGCAAAAAUUUGUAAUCUCAUCCCUUAGUUG